UCUGCCGCGUGAUGAUCCGGGAUCACCGCUGGCUAAAAUCACCCGCCCUGACCAUCGCGCCUCCGCCGCGAGCUGCGGCCCCCGCGCUCGGCGCCCCCUCGCCUCCCACCCCUGCGCUGCCGUGACUCCGGCCGCCCGCCGCGGUGCCGCCAUCCUCCACGCGUAGCCCAACCUCUCCACCUCGCUCCGCCCCCGCGCUCAAGAAACGCCGCGUCGGCCUCCGCCGCGCUCGGCCCCCGCGCUCCAUGCCCGCUGCGACCCCGCGCCCCAGAACCACCGGGGCUGCCCCUGCAUCCACCUCGCUCGCCGACUCCGCCCAAGCAUCAUCCGGGUGGACCUCGCCGGAUGAGUGCAGGAGGACGUGUGGCGAUGGAGUGCACUCGCCGAGAAGUUUGCGAUGUGUGAUGUGGCUAGAGCCAAGAGGCUAGGAUCGUCCCAGCAUUGGUAGUGCAGAUGCCAACAAGGUUUCAGCCCAAGGGAUCUAGAGGAGGCUAGACUUGCUGAGUUCGUAUAGAUCAGAUCAUCUUUACAUGCCUUCCACAUAAACGUUUAAUGUUGGAUGCAGAUAUUCAGUUAUACUCGCACAACAUCUAUCACACGCUUAAUGCCAUCAGUGAGCCAGCUUCCAAUUGUGAAAUCUGGGACUCUAGGGCGAAUAGCCAUGACCAGUGACGAUGGGGCCUAGAGGGUCACUCAGAGGUCAAUUUGAUGGCGGUAAGCUCUAGCUGCAUAUUUAGUUAGGUUCAUGCUUUUCCCUCCAAAGGGUUCAGAAUAGAGAAAUAAUAUUGUAACCUCAAAAUAUUCUUCUGAUGUUUGAUGAAAAGAACAUUUGGUGUUUGAUGAAAAGAACAUUGCUCAGUGACAGUAUGUGUGUUUUCUUUGUAAUCAAUUCGAAGAAGAUUUUAGAAAAUUGAACUCUAAGCUACUAUAGAUGCUAGGCAUGCUAGACUGAUUUGGCUCGUGGAUAUGUGAUGCAUUUUACAGCAAUGCUACCAUGGUAGGAGUGAAAGAAGGAUUACAUAGGUACGCUGAAAUGGUUUCUCUCUUAAGUUGGAAAUGUGGGAGUAAAUGAAUGUGGUUUUCAAGCUUUAAGAAUGUCCUAGCUAUAGCCGGUAAUCUAUAGCUAAUAUAUUAUUUGUCAAUUAUGAAUCCUCUAUUGUUUAUGAUUCAAAUUUAUUUUGCUGUGAAACAUUAAAUAUUAAUCACUGAAGCUGCUAAAAUGGACUCUGCACUUGUUGUAUCAGCUCCUCAUGUCCCUAUCUACAAACAAUAAUGGAGCUCCAAGUCAUGAUGCAGAAUGCAUCUGACUUGAGUGGCGCUACUACUUUGGUUUGUUCUGUGCUGCAGGCUUGUCGGGUGUGAUCCCUAUAUUUGUUUACGAUAUGCAUUCAUCUGUUAUUUAUUGCUUGUCCAUUCCAACGAUGUGGUUGUGGGGCUUUUAGAAUGGAAAGGUUUGUGGAGUAGAGUUUGCUGACGAGUUGGAUGAUAAGAAAGUUAUCAUGCGAGGAAUUGCACUUUGGUUUGGCUAUGCUAAACUGAAAUUAGGAGUGCUGGUGUGAGAAAUGAAGGGUACCUCCUAGGAUUAAAAGGUACUAGCAUAAUAUUGUUGCUUGUUUUGAAGGGAUAAUGACAUCAACACUUGCAGCUUGGGAAGGAGUUAAAAGAUUAUUGCAAUGACUCAUGGCUACAACAAGUAAGUCUGAUCAAUCUUUGGCCUUGUUGAUGCUUGAUGUAUGUCAUCAAGUAAGCGCUUCGUUGGUUCUGAAGUGAAGCUUUUACCUUUAUAUGUCAUUCUCAGUUCAUUUUUCAGUAUCUAAUGAUAGUUCUUUUCUUUUCCACUUGUUAUCUGAAAUUAAUGGUAUGGAUGAUCAGGCUGGCAAGGUGCGCUGACCUUCUUCUCCAUUUAAUCUGCCAAGGAGUGUCGUCUAGCAUCGCUCCAUUUAAUGAUGAAUCAUGCCUAGAUAUUAGGCUAUUGAUUAAAAUAAUACUGGAAGCUUUUAUUUGAAACAGUACGUGUCUGAAAGUGUGGGCAGUCUAAUUAUGAAUGAAAUUCUCAGGAUCGGAAACAAUUUA
Long non-coding RNA from Panicum hallii, 2073 nucleotides. RefSeq lists it as uncharacterized. Lineage: Eukaryota; Viridiplantae; Streptophyta; Magnoliopsida; Poales; Poaceae. The transcript has 3 exons. The record is from RefSeq and is a predicted model, not a curated record.